UUAUUUAUAAGAAAAAUAUAGUUUGUUUUUUUUUUACUUAAUUAGCUUAAUUUUGUAGCUUUUAAUUCUUAUAUUCUUAACAAAUAUGAGUAUUUAUGCUAAUAGCAUAAAUCUUGAGAGAAAAAAAUUUAAUUUAAUCGCCGAAUUUUUGAUCCCGAAUUUUUAAUUGGUGAACGUAUAAUAUCCGUAUAAAUCACGUAUCUGAAUAAUUAUCGAAUCCGUUUUUUAACCGUAUUUUUCAAUGAAUUUAAAAAUUAAAAGACGAAUUUUAUCCGAAUUAUACCCGUACCGAAUUUUUGCCGAAUCCGAAUUAACUAACUAUUGUAAACUAGCUCAAAUAUUUUCUUUU
This 349-nucleotide long non-coding RNA is filed under the name Ananas comosus (pineapple). Its description in RNAcentral is "long non-coding RNA (ACOM_LNC008571)". Lineage: Eukaryota; Viridiplantae; Streptophyta; Magnoliopsida; Poales; Bromeliaceae. The record is from RNAcentral.